This is an RNA transcript of Triticum aestivum (bread wheat), 1304 nucleotides long. RefSeq lists it as uncharacterized. The record is from RefSeq and is a predicted model, not a curated record. The transcript has 2 exons. Lineage: Eukaryota; Viridiplantae; Streptophyta; Magnoliopsida; Poales; Poaceae.
UCCUCCUCCUCCCGUCCGGAGCCGCCCCGCCUCCUACUCCACCCGUCCGGCGCCGCCCCUCAUCUCCCCCGCGCGCAUCUGACCCGCAGCGCCGCCCAGAGACGGCCCCAGCCCCGCCCCGCUCCAGCCAUGGCCACUGCCCCGCCAUCCGUGGUGCUCCGACGCCGCCCCACCUCAUGCAGCUCGGUCGCGGCCCCCGUGCAGCUCGGUCGCGGCCCGCGUCUUCGUGCAGGUUUGCCGGCCACCGCUUUCCUCUGCUGGCCUCCCUCAUCGUCAGCCACGACGCCGCAACCACCAACCUCGACCGGUGACGGCCAGGCACGCCCCGGUAGCCAGAUCUGGCUCCACCUUCUCCCCUCCUCUGUUGCAGGCCUCCUCUCCCUGUUGAGAUCGGUACACACCGAUUCGUCUCGCCAGUGCAUGCUCCCGGCGGCGGAUCCGGGCCCGCAAUCGUCCCCAGCGCGCCUCCCGUGUGCCUCACGCGGCGGAUCCGGGCCGGCAACCGCCGCCCUAGUGCAGCUCGGUUGCGCCUCCAUAUGCAGCUCGAUUUUGUCCUUGUGGACACUGGCCACCGCGGCAUCGGGGCGGAAUCCCCCUCCUCUCUUCACUCUUCUCCAUGGACGCGAGCCGAUGAGCACCCCUCUGCCUCCCAACAACCCCCCUGGCCGGCACCUCCAUCCUCAGCCCGCGAUGGUUAUCAACAGUGAGCCGCCCCGACCCCCGACGGUGACCAGAUCAAAAAGGGACGUCAGGUCCGUCUGUAUCAUAGGGCGCCCUAGGCUGCCGCUUCACUGGCUGCGCACAGUCACCGUCUCCAGCGCGCGGUUCCAGCAGCAGGGGCCCGGGGAGCGCCUCUCUCUCACCACCGUGGCAUCUUGGAGACAGCGGCUUGCAGUUCGCCAAACAAUUUUUGUGUAUUUUUUCAUAUUAUUGCUGUUGAUUUGGGUGAACUCAGUUUCUAAUGAAGUUUGUUAAAUCUCUCUAUGUAGUUCGGCCGCCGCCGACAUGAGGUUCACUUCGCCAUGGUAGCCCCCAAAAUCAACUCAGUUGUGUGCAGUUCCCAGAUGGGUGCUACUACCUUCUGCACUACUUCUUUGAUCCACUAUGGAGGCAAAAAACAAGAGAAGGAAACAUUCUUGUUUAGAAGACCACUUGUGAAUUUGAUGUGUUCAAGAGCGAGUUGUACAGAUUUGUGUCCUUUGAAGGAAACUAGUACUUGUGAACAAAAGUUCACUCGAGCACAGACGUCCAAACAGUUUGGGUGUGUAGAUUUUUAGUGUUUGGAUGCAUUAUUUUUUGACACA